GGAUGCAAUCAUACCCUCUAAAGCACCGGAUCCAAUCAGAACUUCGAAGUUAAGCAUGCGUGGGCGAGAGUUGUACUAGGAUGGGUUACCUCCUGGGAAGUCCUCGUGUUGCAUUCC
This 117-nucleotide ribosomal RNA is filed under the name Triticum aestivum (bread wheat). Lineage: Eukaryota; Viridiplantae; Streptophyta; Magnoliopsida; Poales; Poaceae. RNAcentral also lists the same sequence under 1 other name. The record is from RNAcentral.